UAGAGGGGUAAAUGAAAUUUAAAGUUUAACUCUUUAUUAACAAAUGUCAUAAUUGAUGGACCUUUUCUUAAUUAGGUGGUAAAGUCCCUACAGCUGUUAAGAUUUUGCCCCAGUCUUUAAAAGGAUCCUAAAGGUUAGGACCCGAAGCUGAGGCUGUGUGAAGAAACAUACAGGUUCAGAAAUCUCUGGUAAUCCAAGAGCCCUUUUCUUCCCCCCAGCAAGAAGAAACCAAAAUCGGGGAAGUUCUUCCUUCCUGACUUCUUGCACAAAUUUAGUGUGGCAAAAAAAGAAAAAAAAAGAUGAACACAGCAGAUGUUGAGGAGAGUGUAGCUCAGUCAGUGAGUAGCACAACAAUAUCUGAGCUGAAUAAUAAAGAUACCCCUUCCCAACCUGCUACCUUGGAGAGAACACUUCAUGAGGAAGAAAAGUGUAAACAAGACAAUAUAAUGGAAUUUAGUUAUAGAAAAAGAAAAAAAAGAAAAACUGAGUUCUCUGACGACCAAUUGAAGAUCCUUGAAGAGCAUUUUAAUAGAAAUCCGUAUAUUGCCUAUGACCAAGCCAAGGUCUUGUCUGCUGAAGUGGGUUUGAGUCCUGUUCAGAUUAGGACCUGGUUUGGUAACCAAAGAUCAAGAAAGAGGAAAAUUAAGGGAUGGCUCAUAACAAGAAACGUUCGAACGAAGCGUGUCCAAGAAAAAAUCCAUCCUCAUUCAAGUGAACGGAGUUCCCAAGCUUGUUCUAGUCCUACAUGCUUGGGUCCCUUUCAACCAAAUAUAGUGGAAAUUGAUGUUUGUAAUGAACAUAAAACUUUUAUUAACCUUUAAAUGCCAACUUUUCUUUUCCCAAUUUCCCAUUAUUCCAGUGGGACUGAAUUUUUGACCAUGUGCAAUUGAACUCAAUAUGAGACCUGUGUCUUAAAGAAAUGUCAUCUGGCUAAAUGUAACUAAAGGAAAUCUAUUUUAUACAAAGGCAUUUGUUGAUCUUAAUUUUUUUUUGGUUUUUUCAUUUGUCAAUUUUUAAAUUUAUUUGGGGAAUAAAAAUAAAAAUUAAUAAUUUGGUUUUGGUUUC
This 1065-nucleotide long non-coding RNA is filed under the name Monodelphis domestica (gray short-tailed opossum). Its description in RNAcentral is "lncRNA (ENSMODG00000046615.1)". The record is from RNAcentral. Lineage: Eukaryota; Metazoa; Chordata; Mammalia; Didelphimorphia; Didelphidae.